This 270-nucleotide long non-coding RNA is filed under the name Fukomys damarensis (Damara mole-rat). Its description in RNAcentral is "lncRNA (ENSFDAG00000024026.1)". The record is from RNAcentral. Lineage: Eukaryota; Metazoa; Chordata; Mammalia; Rodentia; Bathyergidae.
GUGGGCACUUGCUAGACUGGUGUGAAGUAGGUUACAGCUCUGAUUUAUGCCUUCUAAGGAAGUAGCCGCAGUCAGCAUUCAACCCAUGUGGACUGGAGACAACCCUGCUGGAGUCAGCCCCUGCCAGCAGAUAGAGAGCAUCAGGAGGCCCACAGCACUUUCCAGUGAAACGAGGGCCUCUCACCCCAUAAGAAGCACAGUGGAGUCUCUGUAAUCCCAAAUCCAGCUCGGUGCCUGUUGAGUUGUGGAGACAUGAAGUUCCCAGCCCCA